CUUUUUUUUUUUUUUUUUUUUUUUUAAAUCUAACACAAUCGUUUCUGUGCAGUCCUUUGCACUGGUUUCUAAGGCAACAUCACUUUCCAGGAUGAUGAGCUACUCCUUGCCAGCGUCGCCAACUAACGGGAUCUCUCAUUAGAAUCUUCUUACCAAUAACUGUCAGUGAUUAGACUCACCAGAACAAUCACGGACAUGCUCAGUCUAUAAAAGCCAAAAACAUAAAACUGCGAUUUACACUCUCACUCGCCUGUAUGCUCACACACACAUAUGCAUGUUGUGCUGUUUGGCCAAACACUCACUGUAUGUAAAAUAAGCAGCAACACAUGAAGCCUGAAGUCUGACCGUACCCACUGAACUUGCAUGCUGCUUUUCUACUCGCAGCCUGGAAGAAGCCAGGUAAAAGGAUAAAAAGAUGAACUGGAAUAUUUAGUGUUCUGGUCAUAGCAACUUUGCACUACAAGCUUAACAUUUGAAAGCCAUGGAGCUGUACGAUACGUAAACACAGUCUCAUGUUUUAUAGGACAGGACAUUUGCAGAUCAAAUCCUAUGUACUUUAAAAAUCGUAGUGAUCACAGAAUCACAGAACCCUAGACUGGUUUGUGUUAGAAGGGAUCUUAUAGCUCAUCUCAUUCCAGCCCCCCUGCCAUGGGCAGGGACACCUUCCACUAGACUAGGUUGCUCCAAGCCCCGUCCAACCUGGCCUUGAACACUGCCAAGGAUGGGAAAAUCAAUGAAAACCAGAAUUAGAACACACUCAAGAGUGUUUCCAACUCAGAAUAUUACCAGUAUUUGGUUAUUGUAGGUGUAUUUGAUAGCGGAAACUGCAAAGAGAAAAAGCGAGGUCAACUGAAUGAUACACAAGCAAUGAACUAGCAACAUCAGCCAGGAAAGAUGAGCCUUGAAAGUUAAACAGCACUAAGGAAACAUGUUCAACAUUCUGAAUCUGGCAGAAUUUACAAACAGAAGUAUAUUUAUUUUUCUCCCAGCUCUUCUUGAAAAUAGAGUGUCAGCGAUGGGCAGGAAUAUAAAGUAAAGGAAGAAAACAAAACUUAGGAAGUCUUCGCCAAAAACUGCAGGUGCCAGCUUGAAGUGAGAGUUGCUGCAUGUGACCAUCCAGCUGGAGAUAAAGUCAGUACCAGUGUAACACCCAGUAAAAAACCAACCCAACAAACGUUAAAAGGGCAUAUGCAGUAAGUUACAGCUGGUUUGAGCAACUCAGAAGAGAACACAUUCAGGGCUAUACCCUAAUUCAACAGAAGACAAAUAGGCCUCUAAACACCCAGUAUCUGCAAAAGCAUCCUCUAAGCUCAUCCCACUAUUUAAUGAUGGGUAAAACCGAUACCUCAACAAAACCUUCUGUGAAAGCAGCAAAUACAAACACACAAGUGCUAAAAAAUAGGGGGAAAGCAGAUAAUAGCAAAGUUCUCUCACUGCUUCAUAAAUAUGUUUAAUUCUGACAUGAGAACUGGCUGACAACAUUGUUUGUUUUUCACUUCUCUCACACACCUAACUGGGAUAAUUAACAGGUCUUAAUUAAUGAACAGGCUGCAAUACGAUGUUAAUCUGACCACUUCAGAAGCACUACUAAAGCAGCACUGGUAUUACAAGGUACGACUGCCUUUGUGCUGUAAUUUCAGGUAAGAUGGAUGCUGUUAGUGACACAUCCAUACCCUACCCCAUUGUGUUCAUGUGGCUGAUCAGCUCCUAGCAGAGAAACCUGAUAACAGUUUGGGGUCCCACAGGAGAAUGACAGACAUUGUAUGAAUGAAAGGUUACCAGGGAAAUGCUAAACUGACUUCACAUGAUGAUGACACCAGUAUAAUGGAAACCAGUCAGGAAAACAAAGUAUUUAGAGAAAGGGCUUCAUUGUGGCUGCAGAAGAAAAGCAAAUACUGUAAUUGAGCAGGGACAGCAUUUCUUGCUUGUCAAUGUAUCUUAUUUACAAACAAGGGAUUUAGAGCUGUCAUAUUGAGAAAUAUGUACUGUAUUACAGGCAGUGGUGCUGUGCCAAUGGGCUGCAAUGACAGCCUGUCAUCGGGGCAGCUGAAAGGGUGGGCACUGGAGGGAUGCCCACAGCAGGCAACAACAGAGAUUGUAUUGGAAGCUCUUGAGGAAAGAGGGAAACUAAGCAUCAGACAACCACUUUAACAGGCCCCUCCAUUCCAUGCUUGGGAAAAUAAUUCAGAAGCAAAACCGUGUAGACCACAGCAUGGUCAUGCAAUAAUGGGCUUCACUCUGCCAGCACCAAAGCUACAGCAGCAUUAAGUACCAGAACAUCACUGUAACAGACAUGUGAAGAUGGCCCCUUCCUGAACAGCAAUGCAGAUCAAAACAAGAAGACUUUACAGAACCCCAAAACCUGAAAUUUUUUUUUUUUAAUAGAAUAAUCUUUAAGGACAGACUGGAGAAAGAAAAUAAUCUUUUGAAAGUCGUAAUGUUGAAACUGUUGUUACUUUUUUAUAAGGGCCUUUAGGGACAGGACAAGGGGGAAUGGCUUUAAACUGACAGAGGGGAGAUUUAGAUGAGAUCUGAGGCAGAAGUUCUUCCCUGUGAGGGUGGUGAGGCCCUGGCACAGGUUGCCCAGAGAAGCUGUGGCUGCCCCAUCCCUGGCAGUGUUCAAGGCCAGGCUGGACGGGGCUUGGAGCAACCUGCUCUAGUGGAAGGUGUCCCUGCCCGUGGCAGGGGGGUGGAGCUGUACGAGCUUUAAGGUCCCUUCCAAUCCAGACCAUUCUAGGAUUCUAUAAAAUACAACUUGAGGAGUAAUAGGAAGAGGGAUGCUAGCAAUAAAACCAAAUCAAAUGGCUCAACACAGAUGACCGAAAGCCUUCUAUCAUUUCCUCUGUUAACUAUUUCUCACCAUCAAAUCCCCAGCCCUGCCUCAGCCAGGGCACCUGCCUGGAAGCACAAAUUUUAGGACCCUUCUUUUAGAGAGAAUUCCCAAUUUUAGUUUAACUUCCACACAAGAGGCCAGCAUAAAGGCUCAGUCACGUUUUUAAAGGCUGAUAAUGUCUGAUGUGGUUUGGUUAUCAUCUCAGCUGCCUCCUGACAUUAAAAGGCAUAAAAUAAUUUUUCAGAAGAAUCUGGGGCAGUUCUUACA
Molecule: long non-coding RNA, 3100 nt
Organism: Strigops habroptila (Kakapo)
Lineage: Eukaryota; Metazoa; Chordata; Aves; Psittaciformes; Psittacidae
Source: Ensembl